GUGAAUCAUCGAAUUUUUGAACGCAAAUUGCACUCUCUUCGGAGCGUAUGCCUGUUUGAGGGUCAGUAUUAAUAAAAAUAGGAGUGUUACCUCUUUUUGGCGCCCCGGAGUUUUGGUCAUCUUAAUAUCCUUUAGGGUCUAAUAGGCUUAAAAUUGACUUUUUUUGCGCAUAUUAGAUGUACAUAAAUCCUUUUUUUUAUUUGUCUGUCAUAAUGCUCAAAAUCCUAUUAGAUGCUUUCAUAUCGU
Molecule: unclassified non-coding RNA, 246 nt
Filed under: Glomeraceae sp.
Lineage: Eukaryota; Fungi; Glomeromycota; Glomeromycetes; Glomerales; Glomeraceae
Description: partial contains 5.8S ribosomal RNA and internal transcribed spacer 2
Rfam family: 5.8S ribosomal RNA (bases 1-65)
Source: RNAcentral